Long non-coding RNA from Lutra lutra (Eurasian river otter), 3301 nucleotides. RefSeq lists it as uncharacterized. The record is from RefSeq and is a predicted model, not a curated record. The transcript has 3 exons. Lineage: Eukaryota; Metazoa; Chordata; Mammalia; Carnivora; Mustelidae.
AGCAGAGAGGACCGUUGGGAGAAUGAGAAGGCUGCUGGAGAGGGAUGGCUCAAGGGGACAGCUUCAGGUCUGAGAAGACUGGAUGAAAGGAGUCAGGAGGAGACUGAAGGAGCAAGUCAAGGGGCUGCAGAGGCUUCCCAAGCCCUGAGAAGAGUAAGUCCUAAGAAGUGGAAUGGAGUCAUCAUGAUUUCAAGCAGCCGCUAGAUGCCAGGCCUUCCGGGGACACGAAGGUGCCGCGCCGGGUGGCUUUCCACAGGAAGCCGGUGCUGAGACUGGAGAGUUGUCGGCUGGAAAUGAGGACAGAGGAGGAGUCCUGUGCCCGGGUGUCGGAGCGUGGGAAUCGGUCUUGGCUGGAGGAGGAGAGUCCCCUCCGUCCCCGCACCACAGCCAGCCCACCCACGUCCCCAGCCAUCUCUUGCCAUGGAACAAAAGCAGAGACAGACUCUGGGACCAAGGAGAGGUUUAAUGGAGGAAGAAUGAGGACUCCUCGGGGACUCCGGUGAUUCGUCAUUUCCAGAGGCCGACUGGCUGCGGGGGCCCGUGAGGAGCUCAGAGAGGGGCCCAGAGGAAGCCUGGCUGGGCGGCUUUGGUGCCCACAGAUGCACAGGCCAUGUGCCUGGAAGCUGACUUUGCUGGCUCCGUGAGUCGAUCGCCGGGGUGGCAGGUGGUAUCCACAGGUGAGCGUGGUCGGAGAUGACCAGGCGCUGACCCAGACUGCUGCUCCCUGCCUGGCCUGAGCCCAGGGUGGCCCCUGCCCAGCCCUGCCACUCGGGGGAGGCGGCACAGGGCCCUUUGCCUGCAGAUGGGGCCUCCAGGGGAGGGCACUGCCUCCACAUUGGUGGGUGUCCACGCCCACGCCAACGCCUGCGGAGCUGCGGCCCCGCGCAGGGUGCUGUCACCCCGCUGGCCUGUGAGUGGAGGGCGGCCCAGGAGCGUGAACCCCAUGGAAAGCCAGCCUGGAGCUGGAGUGCCAGGGCCUCGCCUGCGGCUCUGCCACUUGCUGGCUGUGCUACCUUGGAAAAGUUUUCUUAAGGCUCUCUGUGCCCCAGUGUCGUCCUCUGUCACAUGGUGAUCAUAACAGUCCUGACCCAGUUACUGGGCUGUGAGGUCUAAAUGAGGUAAUACGGGCCACAGGUUCUUUUAAGCAGGAUUUCUUUUACUUAGAAGGAUUAAAAAAAAAAAUGGAAUACUCCCUAAGAAGGGUUCCUGAUCUCAAUAUCUUUGGGUUCUUGAUAUUGGGGGGGGGUGUGGAAGGGCAUCAGGGGUCGAAUGGCAUCAAGGACUCCUCCAGACCGCAAAGCCUUGUGUCUGUGUGUAUGUGCGUAAGUCACUUGGCCCUCCCCCUCCAGCACAGGUUCUAUAUACUAAGAUGCUCAGGGGGCGGGGCCUGACUAGAGAUUGGAUGCCUGGGGGGAGGGUGUGGUGGUUCAAGUGUCUUUAUUUGAGACCAGCGUUUCUCAGCCUCGGUGCUAUUGACAUUUGGGGCCGGAUGACUCUAAGCUGUGGGGUGCCGUUCUGUGCAUUGUAGGAUGAUUAACAGCAUCUGUUGCUCUUCGCCACGAGAUGCCAGUUGUGACAAUCAAAAAUGUCUCCAGAUGUUGCUAAAUGUCCUCAAGGACGGGAGAGGGGGACAGACGGCCUCUGCCGGAAAGCUCCUGCUUUGUCCAGUCUUCUAGGCAGCGAGCCCUCUCUAAGCAGACCUUCUUCACUGUCCCGAAAUUUAUAACAAAGUCACUUUUCUGAGCCUCCGUCUGUCUGCGUCGUCCUGUGCGCGGUCCACAUGGGGUCCAGUGAAAAUUCUGGCAAAGGGUUUUUCAAAAUUGGUGGACCGUGGGCUUUCCAAACCCCAGUCCCGUCUGAUAUAAAUUACUGGUUCCUUAACCUGGUUGGGCAGCUGGAUCAAUUGGAACUUGGUUUUUAUUGUAUUUCUUUUUCGCUCAAACCUAAAGGGUUUUUAGAGCGUUAAAUGCAACAUAAAUCACUUAGUCCUUUACUAUUAAAACCCGAGCUAUGAUGAAAAUUAAACAGUUAAUUCUGUGGAGAGCAAGAUCUUGAGGUAAUCUUCUUUUGUGGUGAAUACAUUUUUUUUUUUUUUUUUAAACCGCAGACCUCAAAUGUGUAGUUCCACAUUCAGGGGAAAGGCCAGAGAAGGGUUUUAAGGAGAAGACCCAGCAAGAAACAGAUGUGGAAAAGGAAUCGGAAGCAUUGGAGGUUCCCACUGUUUAGGAUUCUCGGCACGGGUACCCUCGUGCUGGGGCAUCCUGCUUUUUUCCUAAAUGCUGUGGAGCUUGCUUUGGGGCAGGUCCUUUCAGCCGUGGGUUUGCCAGCACCAAGGCCCCCUGUCUCGGGACCAGGGUGCCCAGGAGCGGGCAUCAGGAGCAAGCUUUGGAAAUGUUGGGGUUGCAGCCGGGAGCGCCUCUGGGUGACAGAUUGUCUUAAACGAAGCGGCUGGUGUUUGCCCUGUGGGAUUUGGGAGGUCUUGUCAGUAACACCCGGGUUCAGGAGCAGCAUGGGGUCCAGCUCGCCGAGGUGUGUGUCGGUAGCACUGAGCGUGGUCAUUUGAGUCCCCUUUGUAUUCGGUGGCCUGGGCUGUCAUCUGCACAGCUGGUCCUGUGGGCACGGUGAUUAAGAUUCCAACCAGCGCCUGGGGACACCAUGGCUGUACCAGGAUAGAUGUAACCUACACGCGGAGACAUCUAGGGUCCGGUAAGGUGUGUGCACCCUGGCAAGGAUUCUGGCUGCUUGGAAGGCAUCGAGACGGCUCUGGGCAGAGCAAAUGCGGCUCCUAUCCCGGGGUUUCUUAAGAAUGCACUUGGAUGCUGUUCCGUGUGGACCAAGUAGAUGCUGUGGGUCAUCCUAGAGCUGAGCUGUAGGAGACUUGUGAUGACAGAUGGGCGUGGCAGCCCCAGGGCAGGGAUAUCUGUGAUGAAGUUAGUUGCAAAUGGGCCCCUCAGAGAGGAAGUUUCUUCAAGCCAGACAAGCUAACACCAAGGGUUGUGGUGCAAAUCGCUCUAACAGUGUAGAGUUGUUGUGUAGACGGUCUUGCCUUGUAGAUGGUCAAGCUGAUGCUAGAGUGGAUCCGGUCUCCACUGGUGGGGCCACAAUCUCCUUUAGAAGAGCCAGGGAGGACGGGUGGGGCAGGCGAUGACGGGGUUGGCCCUGGAUUGGCCAUCUUUGUGGGCACCGAGUUGGGUCCUCUUUGACACUGUGACACAGUGGUUCUCCUGCACUUGCCUGCUGAAGUGAAGGGUUUCAGCGAAGCACAGAGAUGAGGUCGGGGGCCCGAGACCUCAGACAGGCC